GACCUGGUGGUGAAUGGUAUCACACCUACUUUACCUUAGCCAUGCCAAUGCUUGGUGGUGGGAAUCCCUGGUUCAAACCCGGGUUAGGUCA
Molecule: non-coding RNA, 91 nt
Organism: Mycena leptocephala
Lineage: Eukaryota; Fungi; Basidiomycota; Agaricomycetes; Agaricales; Mycenaceae
Source: the annotation of a GenBank genome assembly